RNAcentral lists this ribosomal RNA (301 nucleotides) under uncultured bacterium. RNAcentral describes it as "partial 16S ribosomal RNA". It matches the Rfam family "Bacterial small subunit ribosomal RNA", at positions 509 to 807 of the family's 1533-position model. The record is from RNAcentral.
CAGUCGCCACGGGAAUACGAAGGGUGCAAGCGUUAAUCGGAAUUACUGGGCGUAAAGCGUGCGUAGGCGGUUUGUUAAGUCUGUUGUGAAAUCCCCGGGCUCAACCUGGGAAUGGCAAUGGAUACUGGCAAGCUAGAGUGUGUCAGAGGAUGGUGGAAUUCCCGGUGUAGCGGUGAAAUGCGUAGAGAUCGGGAGGAACAUCAGUGGCGAAGGCGGCCAUCUGGGACAACACUGACGCUGAGGCACGAAAGCGUGGGGAGCAAACAGGAAUAGAUACCCCCGUAGUCCCUGUCUCUUAUAC